GAACAGUUCUUUCCAACUUCCAAUUAUUGUAUUUCUUUAUUUCUCAUAGGCAACAUUGUGUCCCAGUGAGCUCAGAAUGUUCUGGAACCCAGCACCUAAAUUCAUCUGUGCCCCCUGUGUUAUGAAAGACACACUUUUCCCCAAAUACCAGAUAACACUGGCAGACUUGUGCAAAGAGAAUCUGUUGGAUGAACUGCACGAUGUGGUGAAGUCAGUUAGCCAUGUGAUGGACACAGAACAGGUUACUUCUGAGGAAAAUGUCUUGCCUAUUAAGUGUAAGUCUGUGGCAGAAUUCAGAACAGC
RNAcentral lists this long non-coding RNA (303 nucleotides) under Sinocyclocheilus anshuiensis. RNAcentral's name for it is "lncRNA (ENSSANG00000009231.1)". The record is from RNAcentral. Lineage: Eukaryota; Metazoa; Chordata; Actinopteri; Cypriniformes; Cyprinidae.